GAGGAGUGGAUCUGAAAAGGUGCUUCGGAGAGAAGAGGAAGGGCCAGUAAAAAAAUGGAAGUUAUUGUAAUGGGAUGCUAAAGAUUGUUGAAGCCUCACCACGGUGUUUCCUGAUACAGCAUGUUAAAAAAUAAGGAUCGUUCAUCUAAAAAAAGUAACUUAGCAGUCUCUGCAGUUGCCUUACAAGACCACAUAUUACGUGAUCUUCAACUUGGACAUCUCUCAGUAGCAGAUCCUUGUAAGACAAAAGUGCAAAAGAAAGAGAACAAAUCACAAUCUCUCAGAAAAGGCUCGGCAGCCAUGAUGGACACUGGACUUAGAAAGACUGCAGAGGGGCCUAAAGGGGAAGAUCCAGAGAAGGAAUAUGUUCUAGACCCCACACCACCACCGUUAACUUUAGCCCAGAAACUGGGUCUCUUGGCACUUCCCCCAUUACCACUGUCAUCAGAUGAAUGGGAGAAAGUGAAGCAGAGAUCCCUUCUACAAGGGGACUCCAUGCAGCCAUGCCCAAUAUGUAAAGAAGAAUUUGAGCUCCAACCCCAGGUACUGCUUUCCUGCUCACACGUGUUCCAUAGGGCAUGCCUUCAGGCUUUUGAAAAGUUCACAAAUAGAAAAACCUGUCCUCUCUGUAGAAAGAACCAAUAUCAAACGAGAGUGAUACACGACGGGGCUCGUCUGUUCAGAGUAAAGUGUGCCACCAGAAUCCAAGCCUAUUGGAGAGGGUACAUCGUUAGAAAGUGGUAUA
Molecule: long non-coding RNA, 745 nt
Filed under: Rattus norvegicus (Norway rat)
Lineage: Eukaryota; Metazoa; Chordata; Mammalia; Rodentia; Muridae
Description: long non-coding RNA NONRATT020097
Source: RNAcentral